GACGAACGCUGGCGGCGUGCCUAAUACAUGCAAGUAGAACGCUGAAGAGAGGAGCUUGCUCUUCUUGGAUGAGUUGCGAACGGGUGAGUAACGCGUAGGUAACCUGCUUUGUAGCGGGGGAUAACUAUUGGAAACGAUAGCUAAUACCGCAUAACAAUGGAUGACACAUGUCAUUUAUUUGAAAGGGGCAAUUGCUCCACUACAAGAUGGACCUGCGUUGUAUUAGCUAGUAGGUGAGGUAAUGGCUCACCUAGGCGACGAUACAUAGCCGACCUGAGAGGGUGAUCGGCCACACUGGGACUGAGACACGGCCCAGACUCCUACGGGAGGCAGCAGUAGGGAAUCUUCGGCAAUGGGGGCAACCCUGACCGAGCAACGCCGCGUGAGUGAAGAAGGUUUUCGGACCGUAAAGCUCUGUUGUAAGUCAAGAACGGGUGUGAGAGUGGAAAGUUCACACUGUGACGGUAGCUUACCAGAAAGGGACGGCUAACUACGUG
This 497-nucleotide ribosomal RNA is filed under the name uncultured bacterium. Its description in RNAcentral is "partial 16S ribosomal RNA". It matches the Rfam family "Bacterial small subunit ribosomal RNA", at positions 28 to 507 of the family's 1533-position model. The record is from RNAcentral.